This 311-nucleotide ribosomal RNA is filed under the name Staphylococcus aureus. RNAcentral describes it as "partial 23S ribosomal RNA". It matches the Rfam family "Bacterial large subunit ribosomal RNA", at positions 1573 to 1884 of the family's 2925-position model. The record is from RNAcentral. Lineage: Bacteria; Bacillati; Bacillota; Bacilli; Caryophanales; Staphylococcaceae.
AAGACAUUGUGUCUUCGAGUCGUUGAUUUCACACUGCCGAGAAAAGCCUCUAGAUAGAAAAUAGGUGCCCGUACCGCAAACCGACACAGGUAGUCAAGAUGAGAAUUCUAAGGUGAGCGAGCGAACUCUCGUUAAGGAACUCGGCAAAAUGACCCCGUAACUUCGGGAGAAGGGGUGCUCUUUAGGGUUAACGCCCAGAAGAGCCGCAGUGAAUAGGCCCAAGCGACUGUUUAUCAAAAACACAGGUCUCUGCUAAACCGUAAGGUGAUGUAUAGGGGCUGACGCCUGCCCGGUGCUGGAAGGUUAAGAGG